AGUGAACGCUGGCGGUAGGCCUAACACAUGCAAGUCGAACGGCAGCACAGUAAGAGCUUGCUCUUACGGGUGGCGAGUGGCGGACGGGUGAGGAAUACAUCGGAAUCUACUUUUUCGUGGGGGAUAACGUAGGGAAACUUACGCUAAUACCGCAUACGACCUACGGGUGAAAGCAGGGGAUCUUCGGACCUUGCGCGAUUGAAUGAGCCGAUGUCGGAUUAGCUAGUUGGCGGGGUAAAGGCCCACCAAGGCGACGAUCCGUAGCUGGUCUGAGAGGAUGAUCAGCAACACUGGAACUGAGACACGGUCCAGACUCCUACGGGAGGCAGCAGUGGGGAAUAUUGGACAAUGGGCGCAAGCCUGAUCCAGCCAUACCGCGUGGGUGAAGAAGGCCUUCGGGUUGUAAAGCCCUUUUGUUGGGAAAGAAAAGCAGCAGGUUAAUACCCCGCUGUUCCGACGGUACCCAAAGAAUAAGCACCGGCUAACUUCGUG
This 492-nucleotide ribosomal RNA is filed under the name uncultured bacterium. Its description in RNAcentral is "partial 16S ribosomal RNA". It matches the Rfam family "Bacterial small subunit ribosomal RNA", at positions 29 to 507 of the family's 1533-position model. The record is from RNAcentral.